This is a long non-coding RNA of Orbicella faveolata, 1223 nucleotides long. Lineage: Eukaryota; Metazoa; Cnidaria; Anthozoa; Scleractinia; Merulinidae. The record is from RefSeq and is a predicted model, not a curated record.
CUGAGCAGCAGCUCUUUUCAGAACUAUACUCACCCGUACGAUCACACUAUACCGACUAAUCGAUCCCUGACUAGAUGAUCAUUGUUGUUUUGGAUGAUGCAGAUUGUCAAGGAAUAUUUAGACCCUUUCUUGUUAGUCUUUCAAAAGUUUACAUCAGACCUGUUCUUUCUAUGUUUUGAAUAUCGGUGAGAAUUGAGGUUUUACUUUCUUCAUGCCUGUGAAACGUUCAGAAGUAUCGCUCUGGCUAAGGAAAGCUUGACCCCAUUCAAUCCAAAUCUAAGUGUCUCCCGGUCGUUGGACAAAUUAGUAAUCGCGGACAGAUAUCGCGAAAAUGAGACUUUAUUUUCAACUGACUAUAUGUUUUUUUUACAGGAAAGAAGGAAGAACAGAAAGGUUUACCAAAAAGCACAAUUUAUGGAAUAAUUGCAGGAGGGAUUUGUUUUCUGGCAUUGGUAAUUGCCAUCGCUGCUAUAGUUUGUGUUAAGAAAAGGCGAUCGCGUUCUCGAGGUGUUAACAAGGAGGUCAUGAGUAAAAGCUCCAAGAAAGUGACUAUUACCAACUAUGAUAACCCAGCAAUGGAGUCGAAGACAGAGGACCCCAAGGAAGAAUUGUAAAGCGAGUGACGGUCGGUUCACAGCUGGAGUGUCUUCUAUUCCCAAUGGAUCAAUCAACAGUGGCUGGUUUUAUAUCAUAGAACCUACUAAGUGUGUGAAGUUACAUACGCUUACUCUGUUGACAACUUUCUAAAGGAACUGAUCCCUAGAGUUUAGCCCCGCCCCUUUUUUUUCAUGUUUCCUUGUCAGCUUGUAGAAUGUAGCACGGACGUUUGUACCCCGCUUGAAAGGAAAAAAUCAAAACGUCAAAGUGGGGCCAUUAGGUGACUCUGUUAGGUUAUUUUUGAGACUGUAUUAUACUGUCAACCGUAAAUAAUGUCCAUUGGUAAACUUUUGAGUACAUUUUGUAAAAACUCUAACAAGUAAGUUAUUCGAUUACUGUAUGUCGAAUAAAACAAGUUAGAAAACUUGAUAUUGCCUUGACAUUGGCAAUGUUUGUCGGUCUUCUUUCUUUUGGAUACUUAGGCAUGCAACCGUCUCCUUGUACUGUCACGUAACUAUGGCAUCUUGUAUACUAAACAGCCAGUGAAUACGCAUUCCACUGUACGUAACUGACAAUUUUUUGAACCUUAUUAGCUUGUUUCAAAGCAAAAUCUUCACGCGAAAUUC